This 532-nucleotide ribosomal RNA is filed under the name uncultured marine bacterium. RNAcentral describes it as "bacterial SSU rRNA". It matches the Rfam family "Bacterial small subunit ribosomal RNA", at positions 32 to 618 of the family's 1533-position model. The record is from RNAcentral.
AACGCUGGCGGCAGGCUUAACACAUGCAAGUCGAGCGAGAAUGCCAUCUUCGGGUGGUGGACAGCGGCGGACGGGUGAGUAACGCGUAGGGAUCUACCCUAGAGUGGGGGACAACCGCUGGAAACGGCGGCUAAUACCGCAUACGCCCGCUCUGGGAUGUUCCUGCGUCGGAUUAGCUAGUUGGUGAGGUAAUGGCUUACCAAGGCUACGAUCCGUAGCUGGUUUGAGAGGAUGAUCAGCCACACUGGGACUGAGACACGGCCCAGACUCCUACGGGAGGCAGCAGUGGGGAAUAUUGCACAAUGGGCGCAAGCCUGAUGCAGCCAUGCCGCGUGAGUGAAGAAGGCCUUAGGGUUGUAAAGCUCUUUCAACGGUGAAGAUGAUGACAGUAGCCGUAGAAGAAGCCCCGGCUAACUCCGUGCCAGCAGCCGCGGUAAUACGGAGGGGGCAAGCGUUGUUCGGAAUUACUGGGCGUAAAGGGCACGUAGGCGGCGAUGCGGGUCAGGUGUGAAAGCCCCGGGCUUAACCUGGG